UACGUAGGGGCCUAGCGUUGUCCGGAUUUAUUGGGCGUAAAGAGCUCGUAGGCGGUUUGUCGCGUCUGCUGUGAAAACUGGAGGCUCAACCUCCAGCCUGCAGUGGGUACGGGCAGACUAGAGUGCGGUAGGGGAGAUUGGAAUUCCUGGUGUAGCGGUGGAAUGCGCAGAUAUCAGGAGGAACACCGAUGGCGAAGGCAGAUCUCUGGGCCGUAACUGACGCUGAGGAGCGAAAGCGUGGGGAGCGAACAGG
Molecule: ribosomal RNA, 253 nt
Filed under: uncultured bacterium
Lineage: Bacteria
Description: partial 16S ribosomal RNA
Rfam family: Bacterial small subunit ribosomal RNA
Source: RNAcentral